AGAUGGAGACCGGUCGAAGCUAAGACGCUACUGGGCUGCCACUGGCGACAGACCAUGUCAGCAAAACAUGCAGGGACAGGGGUAUUGGCGGUGCACAAAAUUGGCACUGUGGAAAAGCGUGCCAAUGAGGGACAGCUGGAAAAAGGGGGCAUCAUCAGCUCGUGGAAUUUGGAUUCGGCUUUGGGUUGAGUUGUAGCUCGAACUUGGAAUAAGCUAUAACUAAUAAAAAAGAAAGAUUCGCCAGAAAAAAGGAAAAGAAAGAGGGGAAAUUUCUUCAUGAGGAGGAGACGGUGACGUUUUCCAUUUCCAUAUGCGCGCCCCUUUCAAAUAGUGUCU
Molecule: small RNA, 336 nt
Filed under: Histoplasma capsulatum var. duboisii H88
Lineage: Eukaryota; Fungi; Ascomycota; Eurotiomycetes; Onygenales; Ajellomycetaceae
Description: Histoplasma capsulatum H88 hypothetical RNA
Source: RNAcentral